UACGUAGGGGGCAAGCGUUGUCCGGAUUUAUUGGGCGUAAAGAGCGUGUAGGCGGCCAGGCAGGUCCGCUGUGAAAACUCGAGGCUCAACCUCGAGAGGUCGGUGGAAACCGUCUGGCUAGAGUCCGGAAGAGGAGAGUGGAAUUCCCGGUGUAGCGGUGAAAUGCGCAGAUAUCGGGAAGAACACCCGUGGCGAAGGCGGCUCUCUGGGACGGUACUGACGCUGAGGCACGAAGGUCAGGGGAGCAAACGGG
RNAcentral lists this ribosomal RNA (253 nucleotides) under uncultured bacterium. RNAcentral describes it as "partial 16S ribosomal RNA". It matches the Rfam family "Bacterial small subunit ribosomal RNA", at positions 524 to 776 of the family's 1533-position model. The record is from RNAcentral.